This 497-nucleotide ribosomal RNA is filed under the name uncultured bacterium. RNAcentral's name for it is "partial 16S ribosomal RNA". It matches the Rfam family "Bacterial small subunit ribosomal RNA", at positions 28 to 507 of the family's 1533-position model. The record is from RNAcentral.
GAUGAACGCUGGCGGCGUGCCUAAUACAUGCAAGUCGAGCGAACAGGCGAGGAGCUUGCUCCUCUGACGUUAGCGGCGGACGGGUGAGUAACACGUGGAUAACCUACCUAUAAGACUGGGAUAACUUCGGGAAACCGGAGCUAAUACCGGAUAAUAUAUUGAACCGCAUGGUUCAAUAGUGAAAGACGGUUUUGCUGUCACUUAUAGAUGGAUCCGCGCCGCAUUAGCUAGUUGGUAAGGUAACGGCUUACCAAGGCAACGAUGCGUAGCCGACCUGAGAGGGUGAUCGGCCACACUGGAACUGAGACACGGUCCAGACUCCUACGGGAGGCAGCAGUAGGGAAUCUUCCGCAAUGGGCGAAAGCCUGACGGAGCAACGCCGCGUGAGUGAUGAAGGUCUUCGGAUCGUAAAACUCUGUUAUUAGGGAAGAACAAAUGUGUAAGUAACUAUGCACGUCUUGACGGUACCUAAUCAGAAAGCCACGGCUAACUUCGUG